GCAAACUUGGUCAUUUAGAGGAAGUACAAGUCGUAACAAGGUUUCCGUAGGUGAACCUGCGGAAGGAUCAUUAACAACAACAAAUCGUCCACCUCUUCUCUCCUCUCCCCUUCUUUUGUUGUGGGUGGGGUGGGGGUGGAAUAUAUGCUCUCCAGCGGUUGUCUGGGUGUGCACAUUGUGUUAUUUUAUUAUUAUCUGCUUUUUAUUGUAUUGUAUUUUUAAUGUUGGAUGCAAUUUAUUUAUAUACCACUUUUAACAAUGGAUCUCUUGGCUCUUGCAUCGAUGAAGAACGCAGC
This 296-nucleotide unclassified non-coding RNA is filed under the name uncultured fungus. RNAcentral's name for it is "partial contains small subunit ribosomal RNA, internal transcribed spacer 1, and 5.8S ribosomal RNA". The stretch from base 1 to 73 matches the Rfam family "Eukaryotic small subunit ribosomal RNA", at positions 1759 to 1831 of the family's 1831-position model. The record is from RNAcentral. Lineage: Eukaryota; Fungi.